RNAcentral lists this unclassified non-coding RNA (1090 nucleotides) under Hevea brasiliensis (rubber tree). Lineage: Eukaryota; Viridiplantae; Streptophyta; Magnoliopsida; Malpighiales; Euphorbiaceae. The record is from RNAcentral.
GGUGGAUGUUAAGAAGUUCCUGGCUAGAAGACCUGGCUGGAGCAGAGUCACUGAUGAUGGGGUACAAACACGUGCUCAUUUGGAGUCUCAAUUGGCGUCUGCUCUUGCUUUGAAGUCUCCUAGUGAAUAUCGUCAAUGCCUUUUAUCCUACGUUCGGUUUUUAGCAAGAGAGGCAGAUGAAUCACGCUUGAGAGAAGUUUGCGAGAACUUUCUUGGGCCUCCCACAGGGAUGGCUGAGGCUGCAUCCUCUACGUCAAAUAAACCUGCUUGGGAUCCUUGUGUACUUGGUAUGAAAAAGCAGAGACUCCUUCGAGAAGACAUACUUCCAGCAAUGGCCUCAAAUAGAAAAGUACAGCGGCUACUCAAUGAGUUCAUGGAUCUCCUCUCAGAAUAUGAGAUACCUGACACAAAUCUUGAACAGAGCAACGUUGCAACCACCACAUCAACUGAAAUGAAUCUCGAACAGACCAAGGUUGCCACCACUACAGAUAAAAUGGAUACUGAUCUCCCUAUGACUCAAAGAGCAGCCCCCAAGACACUAAUAACUGAUCCGACACCUUCUACAACUGUUAAUGACCGAGAUGAUCCUGCUCCUCCUGCAGUACAAUCAACUGAACAUGUUGAGCCUUCUACACCAUUGAAAGAUCCUAUGGACUCCGCUCAAGAAGGAGCUGAUGAAGCUAAAUCUGUACCGCCUCCAACAGAUCAAAUGAAUUUGGAUCCACCUGCAUCAGUUGAAUCAGAACCAUUUCCGUCACCAAAGGAAAAGGUUUCUUGAUGUCUAUGUUUUCAUAAUAUUAGAUGUGAUAGGCACCUUAAAGUACUGCUGACACAACAACUGAUGCUGUGGACUGUAAAAACGAUAUUCCACACGCAGCUUCCAGGCUGAAUGUCUGAGUGAAUGCACCUAGAAGGCGGUAUCCAAGGUAUGUAACAUGAUAGACUUUUUGUUGUAGUGGAGUUUGAUUAUAUAGUUUUUACGCCGUGUGAAGUUAAAGGUGUAUGUACUCUCUCCCCUAAUGAAGACAUUCAUUGAGGUCUUUGAGCAUUCAUAUUCUAAUGUUGAACAGCAGUUCUCAGAACUUGCAAU